RNAcentral lists this unclassified non-coding RNA (3644 nucleotides) under Drosophila pseudoobscura pseudoobscura. Its description in RNAcentral is "GA22279". The record is from RNAcentral. Lineage: Eukaryota; Metazoa; Arthropoda; Insecta; Diptera; Drosophilidae.
CAAAUUAUUAUUAUAGCCAGAAGUAAAAAAUAAAACUGCAGUGAUUACGCAACGCCUUCCACGCGCUUAGUGGUCUGAUGAACUACAUAAUUAGGGGACAAAAAUGAGGAUCACAUCAGAGAAAUUAUUAGAUAUGUAUGUACAUAUACAUAUAUACAUACAUAAAUAUGUAUGUAGGACGAAGAAAAUCUUGGAUCUGGGACUGACAAUGAGAAUAAAGGGAGAGCCUAUACAAAUGGAAGCUAUUAAGAAGAAAUAUAAAAAUUAAAGCUAUGACCAGAAACAGUUCCAUGGAUGAGUCAGAGAUUCCACGACAACUGGGAAUAGCCCUUAUCUUCAAAUUUUAUAUCUGCAUAUUAAAAUUUGUACUAUACAUACGUACUCCUAGGGUCAGCCCCAUGUCACUCUUUCUCGACCUCAUCCUACGCGAAGUAUGAACUUUUAAGUUUUAAGAGCUUAAGGGUUGCAAUUCUAAGUAAUAUCCCAGAAUUUUAGGAUGGUUUCCCGAUUGGGGACAAAUAUGGCAUGUUUGCUUGGAAAACGCUUUCAUUGUGUUGCCCAAAAUGGUGGCAAAGGGUGUGCCUGUUCUCGUGCUUAUGUUCCGCCGGAAGGUGAAGUGUCACAUUUAUACACGCUUAUGCUGCGAUUAUUUUGCAACUGCACAAAUAUUUAUACAAAAACCCCCGAAAUAUUACCACUUAACUCCCUUGGAUCCCUUUAAAAACAUGUGACUCCCAAAAGAUUAAUGAAAAUCUGGGAAAGCCGCUCCUAUCGGUUCUCCUUGGCGGUACGAACAAGGGCAGCACGAAUCGUUUCUCCACUGCAUAGAACCAACAAAGGACUCUGACUCUGCCAAAAAAGGAAUUGUGCAGAAGUGGCAGGGUUCGAGGGGUGGUUACACAUGAGAGCUUCGGGCGAAGAGGAACAGAAUAUCAAAAUCAAGGGGAACUACAGAAGAUGUUUAGGGGGUGAGAUUUGAUCAACGAUCUAUUGUCAAUGUCUGGCCCCGCCUUAGAGCUUUAAAAUUGGUGAGCCGCUACCACAGUCGCCGUCGCCGUCGUAGUCAGGCGUCGACUGCAGGACUAUUAUGCACUCAUUUGAAGGUUUUUUAUUUGGAAAAUGGUGUAGGAACACGACAGGCACGCGUAUUACUGGGACAUAGACAGAAAGGCUAUAAGACAGGGAGUAAGAGCGAGAAGGAAGUAUAAGGGUGAGUAAAGCACGCGCAAAGCAAUUUACGCUCAUUAUACUUUUUUCAUUUUACGAAAUGCAAAGAGCGGACGCACACACACACUUACUUAAAUAUCCAUGACCGCACACAUGUUUAAGACGCAGCGCACAAUCGUUCGCUCGCUCGCUCAUACUUCCGACCCCCCAAUAACAAAACCCAACAACAAUUGUGUCCCAACGAGUGUAUGGCAAUUAAUUUAAGCGAAAAUAAGAGGAAUGGGAAGAGACCUGGAGCGCAUGCUCGGGCCGGGUCUGCUUUUUAUACAGUUAAACACCAGGGUGAAAGAAGCAAGCAAAGAGGAGACACGACUAAUAAAUACAAAUAAAGGAAAAAACCAAAAAAAACUUCAAGUGGAGCCAAAAGGAAAAAUCCACAAACACACACACGAUUGUCUCUUAGCAAUGCUGAGAGCGAGAGAGCAUUAAUGCAAAUACAAGCAGAGUGUGUGCGGUUGUUGGGUGGGGGAGGGUUGGGGUGAGUGGGGGGACGGCAGCAGAACCUAGCAAGCGUAAAAAUAAUAUGGCGGCGGCUGAGAAUCGGAAAAAGCGCAGGGGUCUCAUCAACAUCAGAAAACGCGUCACUAGCAGCGCUGGCCGAACAGCAACAAAGGCAAAAGCAAAAGCAAAAGCAAAAACAGCGACAUCGGCAAUCAUCGACGGAAAACGAUGAACGCCUGUGUAGCAAUGCGGCGCUGGUUGGCAGAGGGGGAACGACAAGAGCCCACAGAAAAGCACACAUACAAACGCACAUGGCACACAAAGAGGUUACAAAAUGAAAAAUGGAAUGCCAGAGACAGGCACAGUGGGACACGACUUGUUGGCACGGAGUAAAACAGAUGACUGUAUUCAGAUUCAGAUCGGGUGAUUUAAAAUAUUAAAAAAUAUAUACAUGGUGGGCCCGAUAUCUUGCCCCCUAGUUGUACAUAUAAUAAUUAUUAACUGCAUACAUGUUAUUUGAUAUACCAAAUAUUUAACGAUUAUUAGAAAUAUAUUUGGUGACCGAUUUUUUCUGUAAUUGCCUCACCGUGCACACGUCGACGGCCUCUGCGGCGUGUGAUGUUCACAGCAGAACAAAAAAAUGUAAUCCAAUAAUAGUCGAACGCACGCCACUGUGCGUUCGAGGGAGCAAGCAAAAAACAUUUCACUUUGGGCUUUGCUGCGCAUACGCUACCUCGCCCCGUCUCUCCGGCUGUGAUCGACAAGCAGAGCUAAUAAUAAAAUAAAGCUAAAGCCGAAUGGAACGACCGAAGGUGUGGAAUGGGAAUGUGAAGCGGAGGGUCGCGGCAGAGCAGGGGAAGCCAGGUAGGCCGUUGGGCCACAGUCCCGAUGGUGGUGGUGGUGGUGACAAAUGCGAAAUGAAAAAAGAAGAUGAAGUAUAGCAGGCAAGCCAGCAAACAAGCAACAAUCGGAGGCAGUCGACAGGGUAGACAUUCGAGUGUACAGACACAGAAAACUGGAUUCGGUUGUAGAAGAUGAUGAGAAUUCGUCGGGGUGGUUGAGAGCGCGCACACAUAUAUAACCAGCACACAUGUACGCCAGCUGUAGCCUCGUUUUCCUGCGACAGUGUGUAUCUGUGUGGUGACGUUCGUCGUUUGUUUCUUUCCAACCCCAAACCAUGCGAUAGCGAGCACAGGCCAUCGCAGUCACACUUGGGGCUCGAUUGCGUUGCUUGUACUGCCAUUCCACUCGCACCCGCGAUUUUCAGUAUAGAGAAAAGUUAUCGCUGUGUUGCAUGGGUGUGAGAGAAAACUGGUUUCGCAUGCCCCAGCUGCCCGCGUCGCGCCGCCGGCCCCGCAUUCAACCACACCAACACCAACACAUGCGCACUUCAUUUUGUUUCGCAGCGCUGCCGCUGCCACUGCCGCUGCCGCUGCUGCUGCUGCUGCUACCGUGUGUUCCCGCUAUCGUCUGCGCGCGUCUCAGUCCUAAAAUCCACUUGGCAGAGUUCGGUAUUCGGUAUUCGGUCUGUGCCUCGACUCCGCGCGCAAUCACGGGAAUACGAGUACGCUGUUGCUGUAUGCCGUUCCAUUUAUAAUAACGAUACUUUUUUAAAUUUUUUAUAAUGCAACGCAGAACUAGUGUGUGGCUAAGAAGAAGUGAAUGCUAAGGCAACAAAACAAAAGAAAACCCAUGAUGUCGCGAAACAAAUGUGUGUGCAGGCGACGCGUCGCUGCCGACGUAUACAAACCUAGAGCUGUCGCGUUUUAUGUAAGAUCGCGUGCACAGGUGCCCCCAACACAGCGCACACAACAAAUUUAAUACAUUGAAAAAAGAGCAGCAUUCACCGAGACGAAAACGUCGCCGCCGACAUUGCAGUGCAGUGAGAAGCGGACACAGAAAGCGAAACAACAACACCAGCAGCAGCCCCAGGAUCCUCUUCAGUACCAGCUCCAGCAGGAGGCGGCACACUACCU